GAUGAACGCUGGCGGCGUGCCUAAUACAUGCAAGUCGAGCGAACGGACGAGAAGCUUGCUUCUCUGACGUUAGCGGCGGACGGGUGAGUAACACGUGGAUAACCUACCUAUAAGACUGGGAUAACUUCGGGAAACCGGAGCUAAUACCGGAUAAUAUUUUGAACCGCAUGGUUCAAUAGUGAAAGACGGUCUUGCUGUCACUUAUAGAUGGAUCCGCGCUGCAUUAGCUAGUUGGUAAGGUAACGGCUUACCAAGGCAACGAUGCAUAGCCGACCUGAGAGGGUGGUUGGCCACACUGGAAACGAAACCCCGUUCCGACCCCUGAGGGAAGGAGGAGUAGGGAAACCUACGGAAAGGGGGGAAGGCCUAACGAGGCAACGCGGGGGGGGUAAGGAAGUUCUUCGAAUCGUAAAACCCUGUUAUUGGGGAAAAACAAAUUGGAAGGUAACUGUGCCCAUCUGAAGGUAACCGAUUAAGAAGGCCACGCCAAACACGUG
RNAcentral lists this ribosomal RNA (497 nucleotides) under uncultured bacterium. RNAcentral describes it as "partial 16S ribosomal RNA". It matches the Rfam family "Bacterial small subunit ribosomal RNA", at positions 28 to 507 of the family's 1533-position model. The record is from RNAcentral.